AUGCACGGUACCGAAGAGGCUAGCAAUGAUGGAAAGAUAAAAGUGCGCAUCAUCCAGGGACUCGACAUUAGUCAAAAAGAACUCAUAUACUUAUUGCAGAAAUCUACAAGUCAUCAAAAACCAAGCACUAUGCACAUGCUCCUAGGGGGGAGGUUGGUAGGAGUUAACCAUAGCGCGCCCCCUACCUCCACACAAGGGAAGGCAAUCAAAAGAGCACCCCAUGCAAUAAAUUUGUUACACAACUUUUGCUAUACGUGCAUGCUAAGGGACUUGCUAACUUUAACACAAGCAUUCUUUAAAUUCAUAAUCACCCAACUAGCAUGA
RNAcentral lists this ribosomal RNA (324 nucleotides) under Triticum aestivum (bread wheat). RNAcentral's name for it is "partial small subunit ribosomal RNA". Lineage: Eukaryota; Viridiplantae; Streptophyta; Magnoliopsida; Poales; Poaceae. The record is from RNAcentral.